GGAGAAGUACCCAAGUGGCUGAAGGGUCCGCUCUCGAAAAGCGGUAGGAUGCUAUAAAAAGUCGUCGCGAGGGUUCAAAUCCCUCCUUCUCCGCCA
This 96-nucleotide transfer RNA is filed under the name Tissierellia bacterium. Its description in RNAcentral is "tRNA-Ser". It matches the Rfam family "tRNA". Rfam says of the family: Transfer RNA (tRNA) molecules are approximately 80 nucleotides in length. Their secondary structure includes four short double-helical elements and three loops (D, anti-codon, and T loops). The record is from RNAcentral. Lineage: Bacteria; Bacillati; Bacillota; Tissierellia.